RNAcentral lists this transfer RNA (111 nucleotides) under Sphingomonas oryzagri. RNAcentral's name for it is "tRNA-OTHER". It matches the Rfam family "tRNA". From Rfam's summary of the family: Transfer RNA (tRNA) molecules are approximately 80 nucleotides in length. Their secondary structure includes four short double-helical elements and three loops (D, anti-codon, and T loops). Lineage: Bacteria; Pseudomonadati; Pseudomonadota; Alphaproteobacteria; Sphingomonadales; Sphingomonadaceae. The record is from RNAcentral.
UAUCUUGUGGCUGAGUGGUUUAAGGCACCUGUGCACGGGAGCGUGAAAAGCUGGCUGGGAGUGCUCGGCUGUCUUGGAGUAGCGCCGUGGGUUCGAAUCCCAUCGAGAUAG